CCUACGGGGGGCUGCAGUGGGGAAUAUUGGACAAUGGGCGAAAGCCUGAUCCAGCCAUGCCGCGUGUGUGAAGAAGGCCUUCGGGUUGUAAAGCACUUUCAGUGGGGAAGAAAGCCUUGGGGCUAAUACCCUCGAGGAAGGACAUCACCCACAGAAGAAGCACCGGCUAACUCCGUGCCAGCAGCCGCGGUAAUACGGAGGGUGCGAGCGUUAAUCGGAAUUACUGGGCGUAAAGCGCGCGUAGGCGGUCUGAUAAGCCGGUUGUGAAAGCCCCGGGCUCAACCUGGGGACGGCAUCCGGAACUGUCAGGCUAGAGUGCAGGAGAGGAAGGUAGAAUUCCCGGUGUAGCGGUGAAAUGCGUAGAGAUCGGGAGGAAUACCAGUGGCGAAGGCGGCCUUCUGGACUGACACUGACGCUGAGGUGCGAAAGCGUGGGUAGCAAACAGGAUUAGAUACCCCAGUAGUC
RNAcentral lists this ribosomal RNA (465 nucleotides) under Vreelandella stevensii. RNAcentral's name for it is "partial 16S ribosomal RNA". It matches the Rfam family "Bacterial small subunit ribosomal RNA", at positions 338 to 795 of the family's 1533-position model. The record is from RNAcentral. Lineage: Bacteria; Pseudomonadati; Pseudomonadota; Gammaproteobacteria; Oceanospirillales; Halomonadaceae.